This is an RNA transcript of Oryza sativa Japonica Group (Japanese rice), 2474 nucleotides long. It is a transcript of the gene named peptidyl-prolyl cis-trans isomerase CYP65, with no coding region annotated. Lineage: Eukaryota; Viridiplantae; Streptophyta; Magnoliopsida; Poales; Poaceae. The record is from RefSeq and is a predicted model, not a curated record.
CCGGAGCCGAGCCGAGCCGCGGGCGAAUCGGCUUCUUCUUCCUUCUCUCUCCCCGACCAAUCCGACCCAAACGCUCCUCGCCGUCAAAUCUCCCCUCUUUCUCGCCGCCGGCGAGCAGCAGAAGCAGCGGCACCAGCACCACCGGCUGUAGGCGCGAUCUUGUAGGCUCAUCGGAGAUGGGGAAGAAGCAGCAUAGCAAGGACCGGAUGUUCAUAACGCGGACGGAGUGGGCGACGGAGUGGGGCGGCGCCAAGCAGAAGGAGGCCGGCACGCCCUUCAAGCGCCUUCCCUUCUACUGCUGCGCGCUUACGUUUUUACCAUUUGAGGAUCCAGUGUGCACAGCAGAUGGAAGCGUCUUUGAUUUGAUGAGCAUAAUUCCAUACAUUAAGAAGUUCGGGAAGCACCCAGUAACAGGAACACCACUCAAGCAGGAAGAUCUAAUGCCUUUAACAUUCCACAAGAACUCAGAUGGAGAGUUCCAGUGCCCUGUUUUGAAUAAAGUUUUUACAGAAUUCACGCAUAUAGUUGCUGUAAAGACUACUGGGAACGUCUUCUGUUAUGAGGCAAUCCAAGAACUCAACAUCAAGCCAAAGAAUUGGAGAGAAUUGCUAACUGAUGAGCCCUUUACACGAAAUGACUUGAUAACAAUUCAGAAUCCAAAUGCGGUUGAUAGCAAGAUCCUAGGUGAAUUUGACCAUGUCAAGAAAGGCCUCAAACUUGAAGAUGAAGAGUUGCAACGAAUGAAAAAUGAUCCAACCUACAACAUAAAUAUUUCUGGUGAUCUUAAGCAAAUGAUUAAGGAACUUGGAACUGAAAAGGGAAAGUUAGCUUUUUUGCAUGGUGGGGGAGGGCAGAAAGCUCAAAAGGAAAGAGCUGCUGCACUUGCUGCUAUAUUGGCAAAAAAGGAGAAGGAUGACUCAAAAUCUGGCAAAGAACCUAAACCUCAUCAGCCUUUCAGUAUUGUAGAUGCUGCUUCUGCUUCUGUUCAUGGCAGAAGUGCAGCCGCAGCAAAGGCUGCUACUGCUGAGAAAACAGCUGCUAGAAUAGCAAUGCACAUGGCAGGAGAUCGAGCUCCUGUAAAUGCUAAACUGGUUAAAAGCCGUUACACCACAGGAGCAGCUUCACGUUCUUUCACAUCAACUGCCUAUGAUCCUGUCACCAAAAAUGAACUUGAGUAUGUUAAGGUUGAAAAGAAUCCAAAAAAGAAGGGAUAUGUUCAGUUGCAUACCACCCAUGGUGAUUUGAAUUUGGAGCUUCAUUGUGAUAUAACACCUCGGACAUGUGAAAAUUUCCUCACACAUUGUGAAAAUGGUUACUAUAAUGGUCUUAUCUUCCAUCGUAGUAUCAAAAAUUUCAUGAUUCAAGGAGGUGAUCCAACUGGCACAGGAAGUGGAGGGGAGUCCAUAUGGGGUAAACCUUUCAAGGAUGAACUGAAUUCAAAACUUAUACAUUCAGGAAGAGGUGUUGUCAGCAUGGCUAAUUCUGGGCCUCAUACCAAUGGGUCCCAAUUUUUCAUCUUGUACAAGUCCGCACCACAUUUAAAUUUCAAGCAUACGGUAUUUGGCAUGGUGGUCGGUGGCUUGACCACUCUUUCGGCUAUGGAAAAGGUUCCUGUUGAUGAUGACGAUCGACCAUUGGAGGAAAUAAAGAUAUUAAAAGUAAGUGUAUUUGUGAACCCUUACACGGAACCAGAUGAAGAAGAAGAAGAAAAGGCAAAGGAAGAGGAGAAGAAAAAGGAUGAGGAUUAUGAUAAGGUGGGAUCAUGGUAUAGCAAUCCAGGCACUGGCGUUGCUGGUUCAACUAGCUCUGGUGGUGGCGUUGGCAAGUACCUAAAAGCUCGGACAGCUGGCUUUGCUGAUGUGGUUGCAGAUGAUUCAAACAAGAAAAGAAAAGCGAGUGUGUCUAAUGUAGAAUUUAAGGAUUUCUCUGGGUGGUAGAUUCCUGAUGAACCUCCCCUUCUCUCAGAAGAAAUGGCUAGUGGAAACUUCGGUAGCAGCACUGUGGCAUUUCUUCAAUCUUCUGCUAUGGAUUUAAACUAAGAUGCUCAAGGUCCACAAUUAAGAUUCUCUGUAAGCAGAUCCGAGUUGAGUAACAUGAUCCACUCUGGGUGGGUGUUUUGCGGCAAAAGAGUUGCACACUGAGCUAUAAGAGGGAUGCUUGGGACUUAGGAAAUUUGACUGGUUCAAUAACUGGAAAUUCAUGCUUCCAUCAGUCUGUGUCUGAAUUAUUACAAAUAAAACUUGAGAGGGCCGAGCCGCCGAGGGGAUCUUAACUUUCCCUCGUUGAUUCGAAAAGCCUUUUACUGCCACAAUCCGGGACUGCUGAUAUUGUUAUGGCAAGAGUUAUGCUCAAUCUGGAACUGUUGAUAUUGUUGGUUCAUUGCAUGUUUAUACCGAUAAAUUUGUAUGCCAAUAAUCACUGAAAUCAACUUGAUAAAUUUGUUGCCAGUAAUCACUGAAAUCAACUUGAAUCAA